This 142-nucleotide microRNA precursor is filed under the name Canis lupus familiaris (dog). RNAcentral describes it as "miRNA (ENSCAFG00000058040.1, ENSCAFG00845023917.1)". The stretch from base 1 to 105 matches the Rfam family "mir-8834 microRNA precursor family". Lineage: Eukaryota; Metazoa; Chordata; Mammalia; Carnivora; Canidae. The record is from RNAcentral.
AGGAGGAACAGCCCCAGUGGCGGGGCCAGCUCUGGAAACCUGGAUUCAGCCCCGGCAGGAACUCCGGAGCUCUCCGUCUGCAGGGCCUGGAGGCUCCGGGGCGGGGCCGCUGAUCUGCUCAGCUCGGGGCAGGAGCGUCCUC